Molecule: long non-coding RNA, 3741 nt
Organism: Felis catus (domestic cat)
Lineage: Eukaryota; Metazoa; Chordata; Mammalia; Carnivora; Felidae
Exons: 2
Source: RefSeq, a predicted model, not a curated record
UGCUGUAGCUUCAAAGCUCACUUACACUCAACAGACAUUUCAUGAACACCUAUUGUGGGUCAUUCGACAUGAAGAGCAGGACCACCAUUGUUAUUUUCAUCACAAUAUAACAGAUGAGCCUUCUGAGGCUCUUGGACAUUAAGUAUCCUAAAUCCCAGAACUGGUACAGAUGAGGGCAGAGGCAUCAAAGAAAUAUGCUCAAUCAACACACAACCCUCCAUGAAAACUCAAACUACAGAAGUACCUUGAAAAGAAGAGCAAUUUUAUAUGAAUGGCAAGCAACUCGCAUGCUUACUUUCAAAUAGCGUUAACCGUAGACCUCAAAGAGUAUGGUUCUUUUUCACAUAAGUGGCUCCUAGGGGCCAACAUGGCAUGAUCAUCACUACCUUCUGAACUUACUCCAACACAAUAUCAAAUGGCUGUAAAUCUUCCCCUGAACUGAUGGGGGACAGCUGGCUGGGGGGGAGCCGGGAACUGUGUGUGGACCUGUUUUCCAACAGUUUACUCAACCCACGAUUGUGGAUUGCAAGCCAUUCUGACUGAGCAAGAAAAAUGAACAGCAAGGAGAGAUGAAAAGGACCAGUGGAUCCAUUUCAUUCAGACCACUGCCUCCUGCCCAACGGUUUCUAAGUGUUUGCUACCAACAUGCACUUUUAAAAAAGGUAGAAGCAGUGUUUUUUUAGUUGGCGGAAAGUAGAAUUUAGUUUUUGAUGCUGUGAAAUUGGUACUAGAAUAGGGGGGAAUAACUAUUUCAAGAUGCCAGAGAACAUUUUGCAAACUUGUUCCCUUGAAUUACUUUUGGAAAAAAAAAAAAGACUAUCUGUUCCUGUGUGAGCUGGGUACUGUCUUGAGCAUCCAGACUGAAGACAGAGGAUGUCAAUUUUGGGGCUGCUCGGCCAAGGAACUCUCACCCCUAGAUCUUUAUCACCCUGUAUGGUAUUUCUGGAAAGUGCUCUGACUGGUGCUUCCACUGCAAGCCCAUCAACAAUCCCUAACUGAUACUGUAACAUUAGAUUAUGUUGAUCUACUCCUUCACUCCCUUCACGUGAAAAACUGCAGAGCCCCUGCUGCCUUGCUGAAACGAGGGCUGCCAGAAUAUUCCUCCCAUAUGGACUUCUGAACUGGUGCAGCAUUAAGUUGCCGAGCUUCAUAAAAUGGCUGGCAGAAAGAACAAAUGUGCCAUGCUAAAAAUGUGACUGUAUAUUGCAUACACACGGGUCCAAGGCUUGGUGAGAGAGCCUUCUAACUUGUUAAGAAGAAAACAGACUUGGCAGAUGUGAAUCUUCACUGACAGACUCUGAUCGUUCAAACUUGGACACUUUUAUUUCCAAUUUCAGUUUCUGAAAGAGCAAUAUUUUAUACAAGUAUCAAAAAGUCAGUCUGCUCAUCGGGCCAUAUACACUAAAGAUUGUCAAUUGAAAACCCUCAAACACAUGGAAAAGGGGAAGAAACAUUUUUCUCUUGGCUACACUAAAAUUUUGGAAUCCAGAGAAAGAUGGUUACUAUCUCUUUGAUUUAGGAGAAGAGAAAGGGAAAUCAAUAUGGUCUUUUAUAAUAUCAGACAUCCAAGACUUCCUCCAUAAGGGUAUGUACCUUCCCACGACACCCUCUACGCCAUACAUUGUACACAGAUUGUUUUGGGGAUGAAUAAUGUCACUAGUCUAGGAGUUUCAGGGAAAUAUGCAGCAAUUUCCCUGCAGAUAAUGGAGAUUAUUCUAUUCUCAGAUGCAGCAGACAAAUGCACAGAGAAAAACAAUAUAAUCCCCUGCUGUUCCCAAUGUUACAAUUAUUAUACCAUACUAAAACUGAUUGGAAUAAGUUAGUGGAGAAUCAUCCUGGAAGAUUUUAAACUGUCCCUCCUUCUAUCACUCCCACUGAACAUAUAUCUACAUGAAUAGAUCCACGUGUCUAUGUUACAUCGCUCAUCGCUCACUGAAGGGUUACAGUACAUUUUGUAUUCCAGCCAAAUAUAAUUAACAAUAAAGACAAAACAAUGAAAAUUUCUUGCUUUCUAAACCCAAAUCUAGUAAUAAUUUUAUAAUUAUACUAUCAGCAUUUUAUAUUUCAAGUUCUUGCAAACCAGACUAAAAUGCAAGAGUCAUAACCAUAUAGUCCCAGAUUAAUCAAUCGAAAAGUAAAAGUUUUACAUAGUGUCUUGAUUUUUUUUUUUGGUUUAGAUAAUGCAAAAAUAGUCCAUUAAAUCCUUUCUACUGAAAAUAUACAUGGUUGGAAGUCACAGAGCAAUGACUAAAUUGGCUAAUAACAAUAGCUACUAUUUAUGUGCUAAGAAUAAUAAAACCGUGUGCCCCAAAUUCCGCCAACUACUUUAGAGACUUAGUCUCAUUUAAUCCUUGAAAUAACCUGGUGGAGAAUAUGCUAACUUUGUUUUGUAGAAGAAGUGGUCAUAGCUUAGCAAAACUAAGUACCACAGUUGCAAAAUAUCAGAGCUGCCUCAGUCUCUAUCAUGUUUGGGGUUACUUUCAGGACAGUGUGCUAACUAUAUGCAUUCUCGGUUAUAUAAAUUCAUGAAAUUUCAAGAUUCAUUUCAUCGAUUUAUUUGGCAUUUCUUAAGACUUAGACUACAAGUUAAUCAUUUGGAAUUUUGUUUACCCAAUUUCACAUUUUGACUGCCUGAAUUGAACAGCUAUUUUGGCAUAAUGUAAACAUAUGCGAUAUUUUACCAUGACAUACCAGUCCAGUUUUUAUGCACAACUUGUAGCCUACAUGAAGAAAUCAAAAUGAUAGAAUUAUCUAUAUCUGAAUAGGCUGACCAGGUGCCCAAGGGUAAAGGAAGUAAAUCAAAACAAAAUGUGGACAAAAUGCCAAGCUACAAAAGAGCACCAUUGGGAAUACAACUUUGAGGUCAUAAACAUCUAAAAAUACAGGGAAAAAAAAGAACAAAAAAUAGUAUAUGAGAUGCUUAAGCUUUGAAAAUCUGGCUUUCAUAAAUCCUAAAAGGCUGAACUACUAGGAAUAGGACUAUGUAUUCCAAUUAACUGAAAUCAGGGUUGAUAAUUUGAAUGGACCCAAGUAUGGGAGGGGCAAUUAGCUCAUUAGCUAACUGUAAAGCAUCAGUUUCCUUAGGUCUAGAACACAGGGAGCAGAUAUUUAGUUGUUAUUUUUUUUUUGUACAUUGUAUUUUCAAUUUUAGUUACACAGACAUGCUAACUUUUCUACAUAAACAAUAAUCAAUGAUGGCUGAAGGCAUGUAAUUGUAAACCAUUUCCAUUUUGACUUCUACUCAGGAAACUGACACAGAGAAAGCAUGAAGUUACACUUGAUAUCCAUAAUUACUGGCUUAUGGAAGCAAGAGAUCUAAGGAUUUAGUCAAUGAAUAAUAUAAAAAUACAGUCAGGAGAUCAUAAAUAUUUAUUACUACAUCAAAAGUCUGCUAGUAAAUCUUUCAAUAAUUCCUUCAGCAUAAAAUACUUGAGUCAGGAUAUUGGAAAAAAUAUUAAUUAAAAUUCAGACUUAGCUCUGAAAAGAUGGGAAAUAAGAACUAUAUAAAAUAUUUUCUGCUACAAACUGUUUUAUCUAAUUUUUGCCUUGGUUUUAUUUUUCCCUAUGGGUUUGAUUGUAGGUUCUUAAGUUUAUUCACCUAUUAAAUUUGCAAUUAUCAUGUUAAAUCUGACAAGACAUUUACCUGCUUUGUGAAGAAGGAUUAAAGCUAAGAGGCAGAAUUUUGCUUUUUGUAAAGGCAAAUUGAAUACAAAAAUAAACUUCAGUACCUAUUUUACUUAA